CCCGAACAUCAUAAGGCUCUGCAGAAUCGUACCUGGCCAUGUGGAGCUCGGUAAACACAACUGAUCAGUGGUUGCACAAUAGGUGCCGUACCCAGUUGACUAUAGCGCGACUCAGUAGAGUAAUAUAGAUACAUAUAUAUAAUGCAUACUCGACUCAUGGAAUCAUGUUCUAAACCUUUCGGAGUGACUUAAGGUCGUUUCACCUUCGAUUAGCAUUAUGGACAUCAUACAAUCAAUAUGAACUUCACUAGAACUCAAGGAUCAUACAUAUUUUCUUAGAAUAACUUUGUACGGAAAGAACAACAUGGACAACCUUAGUAGCUAGGAGUAGAUUCAUUAUGAAAUAGCGUAUCGUUUAUGUUCAUUUCAUUUUAGAUCGUGCCAAAAGAAAGAAGAAAGUGCCAUAACAUACCUUAUAUAUUCUUCCCAACCUCAAGCUAUGCAAUUUCACGGCUCCUUAGUCUACAAUAAGAGAAAUGACACUCUCGUUAUCGUUUAAGCGUCGUAACUAUUAGGUAUCGACCACAACAUAUUUUACAAUGAAACGGACAUCACCUCCCCUAUAUAUAUGACUUCACACUAGUCAAAACAAUCACAAAUAGCCCAACAUACCUCUAUCACUUCAUACACAACACAACAACCAUAAUAGUGUCAAACAAUCCGAAAAUGUUAUGGCGAACGACCAGCAAACAACCUUGCCAUUAUGCGGUGUUUCUUCACACCCUUCCUCCUCUCAACUCCAUAGAAACAGUAGCAAAAGAGACAACCGAAUACCAACACGAAACAGCCCAAAAACAGUCCCACGAGUUCAUCAACUCAAAAAUAAUUUUUCAGUUUACUUAAACACGUUUCGUCUUGUCUUUUCUUUCAAAUUAAGAAAUACAACCAAAAGUACAUCAUUAUACCUCUUAUACAAUAAACUAGCCAUGAAUUCAACUUAAAAAUAAGUUCACAACCAGCCAACCAUUACACAAGAACAAACAACAUACCAUUCUUACGAAACUAGCUAGGUCUAUUCUUUACGAUCGAGUUACAACUCGCAAACGCAUAGAUAUUGGAAGGAGAAGCAUAAACUUACCUUAUAUUGAGUAUAAACCACGAAACCUGGCCCUUCUUCAUCAAAAAUAAGUUCCUUAACACAGCUACAAGAAGGAGAAGGAGAAACUAGCAAGUUGUCCGGACUUUCCAGCACUAGAAUCGCGUCGUAACACCCGGAAUACCCUAGGGUUUGUCUAGAAUUUUUAGGGAGGAAUUGCAGGGGUUCAAUUAGGUUUUCUUGGUCUGAAAGAUAGGUGAAAUAACGGAGUUGAUAGUCCCUUAAAAGUCCCCUCUUUGCCAACUUUGGGGCUUUUAAUUUUGUGCUCACAUUUUGGCAAGUAGGUGAUGCACCUACUUGUCACCUACCAAUCUGCGCAGUCUCGCGAAAAUUUGAAUAUCUCUAUACUCCGAUACUGUAUUGACAAACGGUUUAAUACUUUAGAAACUACACUCAUAUAUUUUUAAUUUGGUAGGUAGAUAAUCCCCUAAUUUCAAGUAUAUUUUGAUAAAAACUAAGUUACAUUUGACCUAAUUUUCAGCACAAUUAUGAAUAGAACCUGUGAUGACCUUUUCCAACUUUUGUUCCAUAACUCGGUUGACUUUAAAACAUAACACCAAAUAUCAUACGACUAAAAUAAAUCAUAUUGUAAUCUUCUUAUAAUGUUAAUAACCCUAUUAUCACCCCAAAAGUACAUGGUAAAACAUUCCAACUUGUCGACUUUCGACGGAACUUAUUUUCUUCAAUCUGUUUAGCUUCUAAGCCUUCAAAUGCUCUUGCUAAUUGGUAUCAAUGAUCUUAAAUAUUUGUAACGUCCACAUUAACAUGAUGAACUAACUUUGUAAACUUUUCAAAGAUGAUUCCAUUUAUGAGCUUACAUUAAUUGACUUAUGACGUACUCUUACGUAUGAAAACAUGGAGUGUAACAAAAACAUAUAAGAAACAGAAGAUUAGACACCCAUAUCAUCAAAUGUUUUGGCAAAAGAAAUUUCCGGAAACCCUAGUUUAGACAAAGAUGAAAAAUCAUUCGAAAAUCAGAUGAUUCUUGUAAAUAAUCAAAAGGUUAUUGUAAAAACUCAUAUUAAAUAGGUCUAAACCAUCUCAGAUUUGUACAAAUCUAAGAAGUUUAGAAUGAAGAAAUUAGGGUUUCGAGAAGAACAAUCACAUAGAUGAAGAAGCAAGCUUAUAAAACCCUAGAUUCAUGACGAUAUAGGGAGAUCUUACUCGGAACCAAACCGGAACAGAUUGAAACAUGCUAUAAAGGGUCAGAGAUGCAAGCAGACUGACCCUGGUCCCUCAAGGACCUUAGAGAUGGCAAUACCAGCAUAAGAGAGGCCAUUAGAGGCCUGGUAAUGGUGGAGAAACACCAUGAAAGGCAGUAGAUGACCGACAAUGUGGGUAAAUUAGGGUUAGAGUUUGAGAGCUUUUGAGAGGAAAGGGAUUUUAGGGCGGCGGUUGGUGAGAAAAUGGGAGGGUUUGGGGGUCGUUUGGGACUAAAAAAAGGAAGGGGCCAAUUGUGGUCGUUGAUCUCUAUGAUCAACGGCCGAAAUUAAAUGAGAUUAUGGCCAGGUCAGGCAUUUAGUUUUGGGCUGGGUAGGUUUAGGUUGAGAUUGGGCUGGUUAUUGGGUCAAAAUUAAGGCCAGAAUUGAAAUAAAAUAAGGCCAGAUUUUAAAUAGCCACUUUUAAUAACUAAAUAAUUUAUAAAAAAUAAUAAAUGAGUACCAAAAAAUAUCUUUGGGUAAUAAAAUGAUUUUAUUUAACAUUUUAAAAAUAUAAAAGACCAUUUUAUGCAUAAAUAAUUUAAUUAUAAAUUAGUAAGGGCUAAUAUUGCAAAGAUGUGCAAUUUAGCUUAAAAAAUUUAAAUAUAAUUACAAAAAAUACACUAAAAAUAUUCAAGUACUAUGUUGGCAUAAAUAUUGAAUAUAAAUGGCUAAAUCACCACAAAAGUAAUUUGAAGGAUAAUUAUUGGUCAUUUAUAUAAUAAAAAGAGAAGAAAUAAAUUGAUUUGGAGCUUUUAAAAACUAUAGAGAAAAAUUAUAAAAAUACUUAUACAUGCUUAUAACUACAUAUGUGCUAUUUUAAAAGUAUAUAUAUGUGUUUAAAAUAUGUGAGAAAAAAUUGGGUAUCAACAGAUGAGGAAGGAGAAGAGUGAGGCAAAGGGCAUGGAGAGGGAUGAGAAGGAGAUGCAACAGGAGUGUGAGGCAAAAGAGGAGAGUUAGAGAUAGUACUAGAAGGAAUAACAUGAGUAGAGAAUGCGUAAGGGAAGGCUUCAGGAGUGGAAAAUGAAGAAGUCUCUGAGCCUGGCAUGGGAAUUGCAGGAAAUGUGUCAUCGGUUGGAGGAAUGACAGACUUAGGAGGUAAAAAUGUGAGUGUAAUUAGAAGGAGGAUAACACAGAAAAGUGGAUUUAGGAUGUUUAAAGGGAAACACAAUUCCUCUAAAAUAUACAUCCUUGCUGACAAAGAAGCCCGCAUAAGCGAAGGAGGAGCCGCAGAAGCAGCCAAGGAUGAGCUGGGCAUAAGUCGCAGGUGCAAAGAUGUUCUCGAGCAUGUGAGGAUCGCAGAAGCGGGCAGCUAGGCGCAGGUGCAAGAGGGAGCCGCAAGAGAUAUGGAUUCAUGCACCUGCUGUAGUCGCAGAUGCGGUCGUGCAGCCGCAGGAGUGGAGCUUGGGAUUUUAAGUGGAAACCGCACCUGCGAUGGUAUUUCCGCAGGUGUGGCGUCGCAGAUGCCUCCGAGGGCUCGUAGGUGCAAAAAGUAUGGUCAGAAGCUUAAAAGGCAAGGGUUUUCCAUUUUGGUUUUAUUUUCACAUUUGAGACUCGGACUUAGGCGAUUUUGAAGGAGAUUUUUAAGGGAUUAUUGAGGUAAGCUUCUUGAACUAGUUUAGGAUCAUAAAUAUUGUUUGCCCACUGAUUUCUCCACCUAAUUAGCAAGAUUUUGAAGUGAAAAUUGGGGAUUUAGGGUUUGAGAAUUGGAGAGUGAAUUUUGGGGAUUUGGGUGACCAAAUGAGGUCAGAUUUUGAUAAAUUUUGGUAUGGUUAGACUAAUGAGCGAAUGAGCUUACGGGUUUUGUGACUUUUGACGAAUUUUGAGACGUGGGCCCGAGGACCGGGUUUGAGUUGAUUUCAGAUUUUGAAUCUAAUUUGGUAGUUUUCUUGUUGAAUUGAUACCUUUAGCCUAUAUUGAUUGUAUUGUAUUACUUGUGGCUAGAUUUGAGACGUUUGAAGGUCGAUUUGAGAGGAAAUGGCAUUGCUGAGUAGGUAAGUAACUUUCCAAACUUGGUUCUGAGGAUUUGAAACCCAAAAUUUGUUCUAUGUGAUUGGUAUUAAGGUAACACACAUUCCAAAUGACGGGCGUGCGGGCGUGCGGGCGUGCACCGUGAGAAUUGUGACCUGGGUGAUACCAUGGCACCGUUUAGUAACUCUAUCCUGUUGAUAUCCAUGAUUUUAUCAUGUGAUAAAGUAAUUGAGCUGUAAAUCAUGCUAGAUAUCAUGUUUUGGCUUUAUGACGGUAUUGUUGGGAACCUUAGUGGUUGUUUUUUGCUCUCAUCUCACUAUUUUCAUUAAUAUUCCAUACUAAGUCAAGUUUAUGCAUUUUGAUAUCAUAUCUCAGUCUCAGUUAUUUAUUGAUUCAUCAAAUUAUUGUUUCGGGUUUGUUUUCAUGACAAUGUUAUCCUGGGGGUGAGACUGGAGAGAUUUAUGACUGAGUGAGGCCGAGAGCUUAAUUAUGAGUGACAAUUAUGGGAUUAGGUUGCACGCUGCAGCAGUUAUAUUAAUGAUUAUGAUAGCGCUUGGGCUGUAGGAUCCCCGCUAGAGUCUGUAACAUACCCCCAGUGAGCGCAGAUGAUAUUAUUGAGUGAUGGAUUUCCGUGGACAUGGAUCUUGUCCGGGGUACUUGAAACUUGGAGAUGGAUCUUCUCCACAGGGUCGGAUUGCCUUUUAAUCGAUACUAGGUGACUUAUAGCCAGUGUUGUAUAUGUUUCGGGAUGGAUCUUCCUUGGUUUAGAUGGCCAUAUGCAGUACCAAGUGGUCGAGCACUUGAGAGUGGGAGCACAUGGUGUAUUUCAUACAGUAUGUGCAUUGGCAUGUAGAGAUGGUUGAGUUAUAUACCUUACACUAUUUAGAUCUAUAUUUACUUUAUUUCUUUGAGUUGUCUAUUUAACUUGAAAGAAUGCAUACGUUUUUGCACAUUUAUUUCUAUUAUAUCGGUUGCGGUUGAGUUCUCACUAUCUUUCAGUCCAUAGUUUGGAAUUGUUACUUACUCAGUUGGUGUACUCACAUUACUCCCUGCACCUCGUGUGCAGAUCCAGGCGACUCUGUUCACGGCGGCGGCUGCUGAUUGAGGCCCUAGAGUUAGGAGACUAUCAAGGUAGCUGCACAGCAUUUGCAAGCCUUGACUCUUCUUCCUUUGUUAUCAGUUGUAUUUUCAGUUAUUCCUUUAGACAUUAUAGUAUAUUGUAUUCUAAAUAGACGUUCAUGUACUCAAUGACACCCUUGUUUUGGACUGGUGUGUAUUACACUUUGGGAGUUAUUAUGUUUUCAAACGAUAUCCGAAAUGUUAACUGCUUCCGUCGUGAUUUUUAAGUUAUUUUAUUGUGGUGGGUUGUUCAAUUGAGGCUGGCCUAUUUCCAUUAUAGGAACCAUCACGACGGUUGAUUUUGGGUCGUGACAAGUUGGUAUCAGGGCCUAGGUUACAUAGGUCCCACGAGCCAUGAGCGGGUUUAGUAGAGUUUGCGGGUAGGUACGGAGACGUCCGUACUUAUCUUCGAGAGGCUGCAGAACUCUUGGGAAUCUUCAUAUUCUUGAAUUUUUAUCGUGCGGAUCUGUUUGUACUGGUAACUAAACUUCUGUUAUGCUACUCUCUCACAGAUGGUGAGGAAACGUGCUACUGGGUAGGACGAACAACCACCAAUGCCACUAGUCGGGGCCGCGGGAGGCGGGUCGCGGUAGAGACCGUGGUAAGGCCAGAGGCGUAGCCCGCAUAGCAGCUAGAGGAGCACUGGCAGAUCCACUAGUCACCCCAAUUCAGGAUCAGGUCGGAAUUGUGGAUGCACCAGCGCAACCAGCUCAGGCAAACGAUGUGCCCAUCAUGAUGAUAGGCUUUCAGGAGGCCUUAGCUCAAAUUUUGACUGUGUUCACCAGUCUUGCUCAGGCGUUCUCUAUUUCUACUGAAGCAGCUACUUCCCAAGUCAGGGGAGGUUCUCAAACUCCCACCGCCCGCACACCAGAGCAGGUGGUGUAGGGACUCCAGACACCGGGGGCACCACCAGCCCAACCGGUUGUAGUUGCUCAGAAAUAUGUGGUUCCAGUCAUGGCUGAUGAUGAGCAGCGUAUAUUGGAGAGGUUUGGGAGGCUCCAGCCUAUGACUUUUAGCGGUGCAUAGGGCUAGGAUGCCUAGGGUUUCUUGGAUUAGUGUAAGAGGAUUCUCCGUACAAUAGGUAUUCUGGAGACUAGUGGGGUCUCAUUCACUACUUUUUAGUUUACUGGAGCUGCCUUUACCUGGUGGGAGGCGUAUUAGAGGCAUAGGUCGGUUGGUUCAUUGCCAUUUAUGUAACAGGAGUUCUCCGUUCCGUUCCUGGAGAAGUAUGUUCAACCGUCUCACAAAGAAGAGCUGCGUAAGCAGUUCGAGAGGUUGCGUCAAGAUGACAUGACCGUGACAUAGUACGAGAUGAGAUUUUCUGAGUUAGACCGUCAUGCUGUUUGGUUAUUUUCCACAGACAAGGAGAGGAUUAGGAGGUUCAUUGAUGGCCUCACAUUUUAGUUGCGGGUGCUUAUGACCAAAGAGAGAGUGUCUGGUGCUACUUUCGAUGAGGUUGUUGACAUUGCUUGGGUGAUAGAGUCGGUCCGCAGUCAGGAGAGGGUUGAGAGGGAGGCCAAAAGGUCUCGUGGAUCAGGUAGCUUUGGUGGUGUUCCUUCUGGAGGUCAAUUUCACCACGACAGAGGUCGUCCUUACAUGCUCAGACGGGCCGCACAAUUCACCGUGGUGUAUCAUCUGGCCAUGGUUCUCAAAGUUCUCAACAAGGCCACUCAUCUCUCAGCGCCCUUCUAGCUCAGAGUUUGUCUCAUGCACCAUUAGCUUAGGGUUUAUCUAUGUCGGGGCCUUCAAGUGGGUAUCCCAGUGCUCGAGGCCCCCUUCAGUCCCCACCGCCACUUGCCGGUAGAUGCUCCUUUAAGUGUAGAGAUUUGGGUCAUAUCAAGAGGUAUUGUACCCACCUUACGGGAGGUUCAUCUCAACAGAGGAGUCAGCCUUUGACUACAACACCAGUUACUUCACCGCCCGCCCAGCCAGCUCAAGGUAGAGCUCAGUCAUCUAGAGGUCACCCUAGAGGGGGAGGCCGAUCAGAUGGCGGUCAGACCCGUUUCUAUGCACUCCCUGCCAGACCAGAUGCCAUUGUUUCAGACACAGUGAUCACAGGUAUUAUCUUUGUAUGUCAUCGAGAUGCUUCUGUAUUAUUUUACCCUGGUUCCACCUAUUCAUAUGAGUCGUCAUAUUUUGCACAUUAUCUGGACAUGCCCUGUGAGUCUCUAGUUUUAUCUAUUCGUGUAUCACACAUGUAGGCGAUACUAUUAUUGUGGAUCAUGUAUACCGGUCGUGUGUAGUGACUAUUGGGGGAUUAAAGAAUAGAGUUGAUCUGCUGCUGCUUAGUAUGGUUGACUUUGAUGUCAUAUUGGGCAUGAAUUGGUUGUCUCCGUGUCAUGCUAUUUUGGACUGCCAUGCUAGGACGGUAAGGUUGGCUAUGCUGGGGUUGCCACGGAUUGUGUGGCAAGGUUCAUUGGAUUAUGUCCCCAGUAGAGUGAUUUCAUUUUUGAAGGCCCAGCGGAUGGUUGGGAAGGGUUGUCUUUUUUUUUGGCCUUUGUAAGGGAUUCUAGUUCAGAGACUCCUACUAUUGUUUCUAUCUUGGUGGUGCGAGAUUUUCCGAAUGUGUUUCCUGCAGACCUGCCGGGCAUGCCACCGGACAAGGAUAUUGACUUCGAUAUUUAUUUUGUGCAAGGCAAUCAACCCAUUUCUGUUCCACCAUAUCGUAUGGCACUCCUUGAUAAGGGAUUGAAGGAGCAAUUUCAGGAACUCCUUGAUAAGGGGUUUAUUCGACCUAGUGUGUCACAUUGGGGUGCACCGGUUCUAUUUGUGAAGAAGAAUGAUGGCACUAUGAGAAUGUGCAUUGAUUACAGGUAGUUCAACAAACUCACAAACAAGAAUAAGUAUCAUUUGCCUCGUAUUGAUGAUCUAUUUGACCAGCUUCAGGGAGCGAGGGUGUUCUCCAAGAUUGAUUUAAGGUUAGGUUAUCACCAAUUCAAUAUGAGGGACUCGAACAUUCUUAAAACAACUUUCAGGACCCAUUAUGGUCAUUAUAAGUUCCUUGUGAUGUCUUUUGGGAUGUUAAAUGACCCAGCAGCGUUCAUGCAUUUUAUGAACAACGUGUUUCGUCCUUAUUUCGAUUCAUUUGUUAUUGUGUUUAUUGAUGAUAUCCUGGUGUACUCUCGUAUCUAGGAGGAGCACGCCUAAAAUUUGAGUGUUGUAAUGCAGCAGAUGAGGGAGGAGAAACUUUAUGCCAAGUACUCCAAGUGUGAGUUUUGGCUCAGUUCAAUGGCGUUCUUGGGACACGUGGUGUCUAGUGAGGUUAUUCAGGUAGACCCGAAGAAGAUAGAGGCUAUUUAGAGUUUCUCCAGACCGUCUCAGCCACAAAGAUUUGGAGCUUUCUUGGUUUGGCUGGUUAUUACCAUCAGUUUGUUCAGGGUUUCUCGUCUAUUGCAUCGCCCUUGACCAAAUUGACCCAAAAGGGUGCUCCUUUUAGGUGGUCGGAUGAAUAUGAGGCGAGCUUUCAGAAGCUCAAGACUGCCUUGACCACAGCUCCAGUUCUAUUUCUACCAUCAGCUUUUGGUUCUUAUAUCGUAUAUUGUGAUGCAUCUCGGAUCGGCAUUGGGUGUGUUUUGAUGUAUGAGGGUAGAGUGAAUGCUUAUGUUUCGCGUUAGUUGAAGCCCUAUGAGAAGAACUAACCCUGUUCAUAAUUUGAAGUUGGCUGCCAUUGUUCACGCGUUGAAGAUUUGGAGGCACUAUAUCUUUGGUGUGUCUUGUGAGGUAUUUAGUGAUCAUCGUAGCUUCUAGCACUUGUUCAAGUAGAAGGAUCUAAAUUUGAGGUAGCAAAGACGGUUACAACCACUAAAGGACUAUGAUAUUACCAUUUUGUACCAUCCAAGAAAGGCCAAUGUGGUGGCUGAUGCCUUCAGUAGAAAGGCAGUGAGUAUGGGUAGUCUUGCAUUCCUUCCUAAUGGAGAGAGAUCCCUUGCAGUUGAUGUUCAGGCUUUGGCCAACCAGAUCGUGAGAUUGGAUAUUUCGGAGCCCAGUUGUGUCCUAGCUUGUGUGGUUUCCCGGUCUUCCAUAUUCAAUCGCAUCAGAGGGGGCCAUUAUGAUGAUCCUCAUUUGAUGUCCUUAAGGACAAGGUUCAACACGGUGAUGUCAGAGAUGUGACUAUUGGUGAUGAUAGGGUACUAAGGAAAUUUUGAUAUUGAGAUCUAAUUGGAUUUCCGAAAGUUGGAGUAUGUUCGUGGUGUCAUUUUUGACUUGUGUGCAAAAUUUGAGGUCAAUUGGACGUGGUUUGAUAGGUUUUGGUGUCGUUUGUUGAAUUUUGAAGUUUAGAACUUCUUUAGGCUUGAAUCCCGGUGUAAUUUGAUGUUUUGAUGUUUUUGUGAGUGAUUCAAAGGUUCAACUAAGUUCGUAUCGGGUUAUAGGACCUGUUGGUAUGUUUUGUAGUGGUUUAAAGGGCCUCAUCAUGAUUUCGGGUGGUUGACGACUUGAUUUGAGUUGAGGAAAUGCAACUGAAAUGUUGUUGGUACUGGUGUAACCGCACCUGUAGAGUGGGAACAACAGGUGCAGGCCCGCAGAAGUGAAGGAGGAGCGGCAUAAGCGGCCAAGGACGAGCUGGGCAGAAGUCGCAUGUGCGAAGAUGUUCCCUCACCUGCAAGAAAUGUAGAAGCGUGCAGCUGAGCACAGGUGCGAGAGGGGGGCGCAUAUGUGAUGGAUUUCCGCACCAGCGGUAGCCGCAGAUGCGGUCCUGAAGUCGUAGGACCGAAGCCUGGGAUUUUAAGUGCAAUCUGCACCUGCGAUGGUAUUUCCGCAGGUGCGGCGUCGCAUAUGCGUUCGAGGGCCCGCAGGUACGAAAAGUCUGGGCAGAAGCUUAAAAGGCAAGGGUUCGCAAUUUUGAUCUUAUUUCAACAUUUGAGACUCGGACUUAGGUGAUUUUGGAGGAGAUUUUUUAGGGGAUUAUUAAGGUAAGCUUCUUGAACUCGUUCUAAAUCAUAAAUCUUGUUUCCCCACUGAUUUCCCUAACUAAUAGCAAGAUUUCGAAAUGAAAAUUGGGGGUUUAGGGCUUGAGAAUUGGAGACUGGAUUUUGGGGAUUUGGAUGACCAAAUGAGGUUGGAUUUUAAUAAAUAUGGUAUGGUUAGACUCAUGAGCGAAUGGGCUUUCGGGUUUUGUGACUUUUGUCGAAUUACGAGACGUGGGCUCGGGGGCCGAGUUUGAGUCGAUUUUGGAUUUUGACUCUAAUUCGGUAGUUUUCUUGUGGAAUUGAUUCUUUUAGACUAUAUUGAUUGUAUUGUAUUACUUGUAGAUAGAUUCGAGACGUUUGGAGGCAUUUGAAAUGCAAGGGCAUUGCUGAGUAGGAUUUUGCUCGGUUCGAUGUAAGUAACGCUUCAAAGUUGGUUCUGAGGGUUUGAAUCCCAACAUUUGUGUUUUGUGAUUGGUAUUGAGGUGACUCACAUGCUAAGUGACGGGCAUGCGGGCAUGCACCGUGAGAAUUGUGACCUGGGUAAUUCCAUGGCACCAUUUAGUGACUCUAUCCUGUUGAUAUCCAUAUUUUCAUCAUGUGAUAAUGUAAUUGAGUUGUAAAUCAUGCUACAUAUAAUUUUUAGGCUUUAUGCCGACAUUGUUAGGACCCUUAGUGGACGUUUCUUGCAGUCAUCUCACUAUUUUCAUUAAUAUUCCGUGCUCUGUCAUGUUCCUGCAUUUUUAUGCCAUAUCUCAGUCUCAGUUAUUUAUUGGUUCAUCACAUCAUUGUUCCAGGUAUUUUUUCAUGACAUUGUGAGCCCGUGGGUGAGAUUGGAGAGAUUAAUGACAGAGUGAGGUCGAGAGCCUGGUUAUAAGUGACAGUUAUGGGAUCGUGUUGCACGCUGCAACGGUUAUACUGAUGAUUAUGAUAGUGUUUGGGCUUUAGGAGCCCUUCCGGAGUCCUAACACACCCCCGGUGAGCGCGGAUGAUAUUAUUAUGUGAUGAAUUUCCCUGGACAUGGAUCUUGUCCGACGUACUUGAUACUCGGAGAUGGAUCUUCUUUAUAGGGUUGGAUUGUCGUUUUCCUUGGUACUGGGACUUAUAGUUAGUGUUGUAUAUAUUCCGAGAUGGAUCUUCCCUGGGACAGAUGGCCAUAUACAGUACCGAGUGGUUGAUCACUUAAGAAUGGGAGCACAUGGUGCAUUACAUACAGUAUGUGCAUUAUCAUAUAGAGAUAGUUGAGUUAUAUACCUUACAUUAUUCGGAUCUAUAUUUACUUUAUUUCUUUGAGCUGCCUAUUUAAUUGAAAGUAUGCCUACGUUUCUACACAUUUUUUUAUUAUAUAUGUUGCGGUUGAGUUCGUCACAACCUUUCAGUCUAAAGUUUGGACUUGUUGGUUACUGAGUUGGUGUACUUACGUUAUCUUUGUAUCUCGUGUGCAGAUCCAUGCGACUAUGUUCAUGGCGGUGGCUUCUGAUUGAGGCCCAAGAGUUAAGAGACUAUCAAGGUAGUUGCACAACGUUCGCAGGCCUUGACUCUCUUCCUUUAUUAUCAGUUGUAUUUUUAGUUAUUCCUUUAUACGUUGUAGUGGAUUGUAUUCUGAAUAGACGCUCAUGUACUAUGUGACACCCCAGUUUUGGGCUGGUUUGUAUUACACUUUGGGAGUUAUUAUGUUUUCAAAAGGAUUUCUUAAAUGUUAACUGCUUCUAUCAUGUUUUUAAGUUAUUUUAUUAUGUUGGGUUGUAGAGUUGAGAUUGGCCUAGUUCCACAAGAGGCGCCAUUACCACGGUCGAUUUUGGGUCGUGACACAUGAUUUAUAGACUUGCCUCAUCCUCUUCUUCAAAAAUAUAGCACUAUACGAUCAACAAGUAUAAAUAGUAGCAAGAAUGUGAAGGUCGUAAAACAGAGUAGAGGAAUAAAAGAUACAAUUCACAAUAUGACACUAGUUUCAUCAAUUUCAAUCUCCUCCAUAGUUUUUCCAAUUCAUCGAGAAAAUCAAGAAUCUUCAAAUAAACUUAAUUGGUUGUGCAUUUGGAAUUACACAGCAGGUCCAACCCUACUAGAAACAUGUAAAACAGUCAUGCCAUGAUCAUAAUUAUAAGCUGCAAGAAAUAUUGGACCAUUGCUAGGGAAAAAAAAGAUGCAUUCAGUAAUGCAUAGUGUUAGAACAUAAACAAUAGCCUUCUUCCUUGAGUUUCCUCCUAGGCUGCCUAACAUAAAGAAGGAUAAAGGUAGGACAUAAUUUUAAAUAUUUAAUUAUUAUUCCUAAUUGAUUAGAGAACAAUCCACCUUAGUUGCAACAGAAAUAAUCAAGUUCUCCGUAUACGAAAUUUGUAAAGAGUAAUUUCUUUCUUUAUGCUAAGUUAAAACCUUUUUCUCAAAUCAAGUCCUGGUGAAUACAAUGAAAUUGCAAAUGACUAAGUGAUCUUUAACAAAAUCAGUAGAUCAAGUGAAUUAUAUAGUUUUGUUUUAAUGGUUUCCGAUAAUCCAGUAUGCGUCUCAAUCUAAAAUUAGAUUCUCAACCACCCUGUCAUUGAUAAUCGACUUCCAAUUAGGCAAAUUUAGCAGAACCUCAAACAAGAGAACCAGAGGCAGCAAAUAUAGACGUAAUCCUAGCCAGAAUCCUUCCAAGAUGAAAUAAGCUAAAAUAGCAAUGUUUUGUUUCCCCAUAACACUUCAUACAAGAUCUUUCCUUAAAGUAUGUCAUGUAAUAAGGAAGAUAAGAUACUACACUAAAUAUCAACAGCUCCGGUAUUUAAGACAAGUAUCUAUAAACUGAUUGACUUAUAGAAACUGGGCUUAUGGGUCAAGAAAAUAUAUACUAUGACCUGCUGCAUUUGGUACGACUUUCUCUUUGCAGAUCAAAGGUUUCAUUUCUUAUUGGUUAAUAUAUGGAUAUUUCUUUUUAUGUGUUUAAAUCCCUACUGUACAUUCAACAAUAAAGGUUUCUAUUAAAGCAGAGAAUUACCUCUUUUUCUCCAUCUCAUGUUUCAGUGUAUUAGCAAGAGUUUUCUCUCCACACUUGCGAUAUCCUGGGACAAAAGAAAGAGCCUUUACUUUAUGUAAAGCUCACACAUUCUAACAACGCAAGUAUAAUUGGUAGCACCCAAAUAUACAAGUGGAACUACCAACCUGCACUAGCAGCUUAUAAAAAAGUAGUGAUUGAAUGAUAAUUGGUAGUACAAGUAAGGCUUUAUGGAUGCACGACACACAGAUUUAUUCUUGAAAUCCCUUAAAUAUUGCAAAGAGUUUCUUCUUCUGGUGUUUUGUCACUUGUAAUUACUACAACACUCUGAUAAAAAAAAAUGCUUCAUCAUUUCAUUAGUGCUAGCUUUAUAAUACAAUUAGUUUUCUCUAAACAUGGAUUUACUUCUUGAACCUCAAUAUUCCUUAGUGAAAGACACUAAGAUUUAUCAAUAAAACUAAGGAACAAAAGGGUCACUAUAGUUUUAAUUUUAAAAAGGCAACUAAUCCUCUUAUGCUCCUAGUUGAAAUCACAGUAAUGAUUAGAUUUCACUUAAUUUUCUAAGAGAACAGAUAACACCUAAUCUCACAAAACAUUCAAUUCCUUGGAACCCAAAAUAUUUAUUGAAACAAGAAACAAACACAAUAUCUUCCUCAAGAUGAACAAUAGUAAUACUCACAUCACUAGAUGUAACUAUUUCCACUCUGAGUUUCCAUCACUAUUGAUUUUAAAAUCAGUACAAUUGAAUUGCAUUAAUUCAAUUUUCAAACAUAGAUGCUAAAAAUAUGAAUUUAGACAGAGCAGGAACUAACUUACAAUGAGAUGUGAGAAUCAAAGUAACAUAACCAAAGAGAGAUCCGCAAAGCCAGAAGUAGCCUAUUCUUUAGUAGUAUUACAACCCAAAAAAUAUAGCCAAAGUAGCUGCUAAAAACUACAUCUAUCCCAAUUCCAAAAAGCACAAAUAUACCAAAAAAUAAGUAAAUUAUAGUCACGAUCUGCUUGUGAAUCUACAAUCAAUAGAAAGGAACAUAAUUAAAAAAAGGUAAAAUAGAAAUACCAACCGUAUAAGAGAUGAGACCAUUGAUUAGACUGGAAUGGAGCUAUAAGUACUGAUGUGGAUGAACCACACUAUCUUUAUUUAGAACCUGUAAGAAAAUGGUUAAUUUGUUGCCCUAAUUUUUUCUUUGAAAAAUUUGUCGAUGCUGAUUAGGACAUGCUAACUAAAAACCUAAAUCGAAGCAUUCAAGGAAUUGAAACCCUAAAUUAGAAACAACUAAAACUAGAGAUGAAGGAGCUUACGAUUUCAAGCCAUAGCCCCAACACUGGAAGAUAAGGUUGUCGCUCAUUUGAACCUCUUAACACAAAGCACGAGUCCAAGGGUUGAACUAAUUGGGGAAGGUGAGAGCCAAAAUAAAAAUAAAAAAGGGCAGGUAUUCUUUAGGAGGCCACAAGUCAAAUAAUUUAUUGAGAAAAAUAAAUAUUUUACCAACAAGAAAAUAUUUUUGGCAACACUGACAAUUUAUU
This 14781-nucleotide long non-coding RNA is filed under the name Nicotiana tabacum (common tobacco). RNAcentral describes it as "long non-coding RNA (NTAB_LNC003343)". The record is from RNAcentral. Lineage: Eukaryota; Viridiplantae; Streptophyta; Magnoliopsida; Solanales; Solanaceae.